Molecule: unclassified non-coding RNA, 155 nt
Filed under: uncultured Xylariales
Lineage: Eukaryota; Fungi; Ascomycota; Sordariomycetes; Xylariales
Description: sequence contains ITS1
Source: RNAcentral
CAGAGUUUUCUAAACUCCCAACCCUAUGUGUAUCUACUAUUUUGUUGCCUCGGCGGGCUCUGCUCCUCCCCCGGAGCAGGCCUAAGCCCGCCGGCGGCCCAAACUUAAACUCUUGUAAUUUUUUGUCAUCUGAGAGUUAUUUUUAAAAUAAGUCA